This 497-nucleotide ribosomal RNA is filed under the name uncultured bacterium. RNAcentral describes it as "partial 16S ribosomal RNA". It matches the Rfam family "Bacterial small subunit ribosomal RNA", at positions 28 to 507 of the family's 1533-position model. The record is from RNAcentral.
GACGAACGCUGGCGGCGUGCCUAAUACAUGCAAGUUGAGCGAUGAAGAUUGGUGCUUGCACCAAUUUGAAGAGCCGCGAACGGGUGAGUAACGCGUGGGGAAUCUGCCUUUGAGCGGGGGACAACAUUUGGAAACGAAUGCUAAUACCGCAUAACCACUUUAAACAUAAGUUUUAAGUUUGAAAGAUGCAAUUGCAUCACUCAAAGAUGAUCCCGCGUUGUAUUAGCUAGUUGGUGAGGUAAAGGCUCACCAAGGCGAGGAUACAUAGCCGACCUGAGAGGGUGAUCGGCCACAUUGGGACUGAGACACGGCACAAACGCCUACGGGAGGAAGCAGUAGGGAAUCUUCGGCAAUGGACGAAAGUCUGACCGAGCAACGCCGCGUGAGUGAAGAAGGUGUUCGGAUCGUAAAACUCUGUUGGUAGAGAAGAACGUUGGUGAGAGUGGAAAGCUCAUCAAGUGACGGUAACUACCCAGAAAGGGACGGCUAACUACGUG